Hordeum vulgare subsp. vulgare (domesticated barley) is the source of this 1027-nucleotide long non-coding RNA. RefSeq lists it as uncharacterized. Lineage: Eukaryota; Viridiplantae; Streptophyta; Magnoliopsida; Poales; Poaceae. The transcript has 2 exons. The record is from RefSeq and is a predicted model, not a curated record.
AUUGACAAAGAGAAGAGGGAGUGGAGGUAUCCCGUGGAUCUGCAAGCAAUGACAUGUAGUUGCCGAAAGUGGCAAAUUACUAGACAACCUUGUAUACCUGCUCUGUAUUUCAUUACUUUAAUGAGAGGUCUAGCUAGUGAGAUAGAUCAGUAUGUGCAUGAAUUUUACUUAGUUAAAAAAUUCACUCUCACCUAUGCUGAAAAUUUGCGUGCAAUGGAGGGAAAACAACAGUGGGAUAUUGUUGACCCUCGGUUUAAAUUGUCUGCACCUGUGCAACACAGACCUCCUGGCAGGCCAAGGAAGACUAGGAUAAGGGCACAGUCCGAAGGAAAAGGCCUAGGAGGAAGGAUAAAUAAGUGCUCUCGUUGUGGAAGAUUAGGACACGAUGGUACUCACUGCAAAGAAUCAAUUGAUCCUGCUUUUGGAGAAGAUGAGCAUUGGGGUGCUGUAAAUGUUGAAAAUGAAGCUCUCGAAGCUACUGAAGCAACUGCCGAGACUGAUCCUAGUGAUGGAGAUGCUGAAAAUGAAGCUCUAGAAUAAACAACUCAAAUAGAAGCCCUAGAAGAAACAUCAGGAACAUAAGCUCCUAGCUCUCCUCCAACUAUUACAAGCUCUCCAACUGCUCCUAACUCUCCAGCUACUACUUCCUCUCAGGUUGUUGAUAGUGAUCUACUUGCUAGUCCAAGGAAAAAAUUUCAGAAGGCCAGCUCCUAGAGGUGUCAAGUGGGGGUCACCAAAUAAGAAGCAGAAGUCUAGCAUGGUACCAACUCUGAGCACAAGGAGCAAGGCUGCUAUUCCUCCUGCCAACACUAGGAGCAAGAUGACCAAACUGAAGUGAUCAUGAUGUGUUUGUGGUGUGAAUGUUGGUUUGUAAUGUUGUGGUGUGAACUAUUGUCUUAAGGUGCUGGGUGUGAACUUAUGAGUUUGUCUGCUGUUUAAAUACUGGCUGUGAACUUAUGUGUUUUGUAAUGAUUUGUUGUGAACUAUUCCAGUAUAAUGUGCUAUGAACUACUAAUUUGUGCUCACA